This is a long non-coding RNA of Dermacentor andersoni, 533 nucleotides long. RefSeq lists it as uncharacterized. The record is from RefSeq and is a predicted model, not a curated record. NCBI's taxonomy places the organism in Eukaryota, Metazoa, Arthropoda, Arachnida, Ixodida, Ixodidae.
CUCCGUGCCGGCUCAAUCAACAGAAGUGGUUAUGAACUCAAUGAACAAAAACGCUGUUCAUCGCAAUUUGGCUGUUCCGAAACCGAAACCAAUUUUCAGCUGAGACAAGUCGGGGCGAUUAGGUCACAUGACAUUUUUGAGGGACGUCACGUUUCGUAUUUUACCCAGCCUCUUUUUGUGCCCUCUUCGCCGUGCGUGCUAGCAUCGUUCCGUGCGGUACGUGCCAGCAUGAGGGCCAAGUGGCGUAAGAAGCGGAUGCGCAGGUUGAAGCGCAAGCGCAGGAAGAUGCGUGAGAGGUCCAAGUAGGCCAGACCCACGAGUGGUGGAAGACAAGCCCGGCUGCUGGCAGAGGGAGUGUCCGAAGACGUCGCCUUCAGCCUCCUGCCCGGACUGUGCCACCACGACCGGGCUGCUGCAUCGGAUGGCGCCUUGCACUUACAUGACGGACCCAAGCUCUCGAUCUGAGCAAGGCACUCACCCGGACAUUGGAUCAUCAACUGUGCGUCCAUUAAAACCUCAUCUCGGAAAAAAAA